GAAAUGCGAUAAGUAAUGUGAAUUGCAGAAUUCAGUGAAUCAUCGAAUCUUUGAACGCACAUUGCGCCCCUUGGUAUUCCGGGGGGCAUGCCUGUUCGAGCGUCAUAAUAACCCCCUCAAGCCUAGCUUGGUGUUGGGGCCCGCCUCUAGGCGGCCCUUAAAGCGAGUGGCGGUGCCGUUCGGCUCUAAGCGUAGUAAUAAACCCUCGCUAUAGUGUCUAGCGGUUAGCUUGCCAAAAACCCCUAAACUUCUAUGUUUGACCUCGGAUCAGGUAGGGAUACCCGCUGAACUUAA
This 294-nucleotide unclassified non-coding RNA is filed under the name uncultured fungus. RNAcentral describes it as "sequence contains ITS1". The stretch from base 1 to 105 matches the Rfam family "5.8S ribosomal RNA", at positions 50 to 154 of the family's 154-position model. Lineage: Eukaryota; Fungi. The record is from RNAcentral.